This 77-nucleotide transfer RNA is filed under the name Gammaproteobacteria bacterium. RNAcentral describes it as "tRNA-Glu". It matches the Rfam family "tRNA". Rfam says of the family: Transfer RNA (tRNA) molecules are approximately 80 nucleotides in length. Their secondary structure includes four short double-helical elements and three loops (D, anti-codon, and T loops). Further hydrogen bonds mediate the characteristic L-shaped molecular structure. tRNAs have two regions of fundamental functional importance: the anti-codon, which is responsible for specific mRNA codon recognition, and the 3' end, to which the tRNAs corresponding amino acid is attached (by aminoacyl-tRNA synthetases). tRNAs cope with the degeneracy of the genetic code in two manners: having more than one tRNA (with a specific anti-codon) for a particular amino acid; and 'wobble' base-pairing, i.e. permitting non-standard base-pairing at the 3rd anti-codon position. Lineage: Bacteria; Pseudomonadati; Pseudomonadota; Gammaproteobacteria. The record is from RNAcentral. RNAcentral also lists the same sequence under 2 other names.
GUCCCGUUCGUCUAGUGGCCUAGGACGCCAGGAUUUCAUCCUGGAAACAGGUAGUUCGAAUCUCCUACGGGACGCCA